GAGGUUGACCUCGGAUCAGGUAGGAAUACCCGCUGAACUUAAGCAUAUCAAUA
RNAcentral lists this ribosomal RNA (53 nucleotides) under Paragaeumannomyces garethjonesii. RNAcentral's name for it is "Chaetosphaeria garethjonesii partial 28S ribosomal RNA". Lineage: Eukaryota; Fungi; Ascomycota; Sordariomycetes; Chaetosphaeriales; Chaetosphaeriaceae. RNAcentral also lists the same sequence under 1 other name. The record is from RNAcentral.